RNAcentral lists this ribosomal RNA (154 nucleotides) under Acinetobacter sp. SC104. RNAcentral describes it as "partial 16S ribosomal RNA". It matches the Rfam family "Bacterial small subunit ribosomal RNA", at positions 337 to 483 of the family's 1533-position model. The record is from RNAcentral. Lineage: Bacteria; Pseudomonadati; Pseudomonadota; Gammaproteobacteria; Moraxellales; Moraxellaceae.
UCCUACGGGAGGCAGCAGUGGGGAAUAUUGGACAAUGGGGGCAACCCUGAUCCAGCCAUGCCGCGUGUGUGAAGAAGGCCUUUUGGUUGUAAAGCACUUUAAGCGAGGAGGAGGCUAACCUGGUUAAUACCCAGGCUUAGUGGACGUACUCGCA